AGAGUUGAUCAUGGCUCAGAACGAACGCUGGUAGCGUGGAUUAGGCAUGCAAGUCGAACGGGAUCGGCCGAUUAGCAAUAACCGGCCGUGAGAGUGGCGGAUGGGAGGAACACGUGAGCAACCUGUCCUUGAGUUGGGGAAAACCGUUGGAAACGACGGCUAAUACCGGAUGUAGCGCCCGGCGACAUCGCCGGAGCGCCAAAGGGGGCCAAAAGCUCCCGCUCACCGAGGGGCUCGCGCAUCAUCAGCUUGUUGGCGGGGUAACGGCCCACCAAGGCUUACGAUUAGCUGGUCUGAGAGGAUGACCAGCCCCACUGGGACUGAGAUACUGCCCAGACUCCUACGGGAGGCUGCAGUCGAGGAUCAUUUGCAAUGGGCGAAAGCCUGACAAUGCGACGCUGCGUGGAGGAUGAAGGCCUUCGGGUUGUAAACUCCUGUCAUAAGGGAAAAGGCGAGGGUACCCAAUACGUACCUUAGUUGACUGUACUUUAAGAGGAAGGGACGGCUAACUCUGUGCCAGCCGCCGC
This 527-nucleotide ribosomal RNA is filed under the name uncultured bacterium. RNAcentral's name for it is "bacterial SSU rRNA". It matches the Rfam family "Bacterial small subunit ribosomal RNA", at positions 8 to 518 of the family's 1533-position model. The record is from RNAcentral.